UACGGGGGGGGCAAGCGUUGUUCGGAAUUACUGGGCGUAAAGGGCUCGUAGGCGGCCAACUAAGUCAGACGUGAAAUCCCCAGGCUCAACCUGGGAACUGCGUCUGAUACUGGAUGGCUUGAAUCCGGGAGAGGGAUGCAGAAUUCCAGGUGUAGCGGUGAAAUGCGUAGAUAUCUGGAGGAAUACCGGUGGCGAAGGCGGCAUCCUGGACCGGCACUGACACUGAGGCACGAAAGCGUGGGGAGCAAACAGG
RNAcentral lists this ribosomal RNA (253 nucleotides) under uncultured bacterium. Its description in RNAcentral is "partial 16S ribosomal RNA". It matches the Rfam family "Bacterial small subunit ribosomal RNA", at positions 524 to 776 of the family's 1533-position model. The record is from RNAcentral.